This is a non-coding RNA of Rhinopithecus roxellana (golden snub-nosed monkey), 515 nucleotides long. Lineage: Eukaryota; Metazoa; Chordata; Mammalia; Primates; Cercopithecidae. The record is from the annotation of a RefSeq genome assembly.
CUGUGUCCACCAUGGCCUGGACAUCUCUUCUCCUUGUGCUUCUCUCCCACUGCACAGGUUCCCUCUCCCAGCCCGUGCUGACUCAGCCACCCUCCCUCUCUGCAUCCCUGGGAGCAUCUGCCAGACUCACCUGCACCCUGAGCAGUGACAUCAGUGUUGGUGGAAAAAUUGUAUACUGGUACCAGCAGAAGCCAGGGAGCAAUCCCCGGUAUCUCCUGAGCUACUACUCAGAGCCAAGUAAGCACCAGGGCUCUGGAGUCCCCAGCCGCUUCUCUGGAUCCAAAGAUGCCUCAACUAACUUAGGGAUUCUGCACAUCUCUGGGCUGCAGCCUGAGGAUGAGGCUGACUAUUAUUGUAAGAUAUGGCGUGACAGCACUAAUGCUUACACAGUGCUCCAGACCCCCAGGGAAGGUGAUCGAAGGUGCUCAGCACCCACGUUCUGCAGGUGGAUCACAGGCCCUGGAAGGAUUGUGGCUGUGGGCCCAGCAGAUGGUGCUGUGGGCUGUUCUGAGUAG